GAUGAACGCUGGCGGCGUGCCUAAUACAUGCAAGUCGAGCGAACAGACGAGGAGCUUGCUCCUCUGACGUUAGCGGCGGACGGGUGAGUAACACGUGGAUAACCUACCUAUAAGACUGGGAUAACUUCGGGAACCCGGAGCUAAUACCGGAUAAUAUAUUGAACCGCAUGGUUCAAUAGUGAAAGACGGUUUUGCUUUCACUUAUAGAUGGAUCCGCGCCGCAUUAGCUAGUUGGUAAGGUAACGGCUUACCAAGGCAACGAUGCGUAGCCGACCUGAGAGGGUGAUCGGCCACACUGGAACUGAGACACGGUCCAGACUCCUACGGGAGGCAGCAGUAGGGAAUCUUCCGCAAUGGGCGAAAGCCUGACGGAGCAACGCCGCGUGAGUGAUGAAGGUCUUCGGAUCGUAAAACUCUGUUAUUAGGGAAGAACAAAUGUGUAAGUAACUAUGCACGUCUUGACGGUACCUAAUCAGAAAGCCACGGCUAACUACGUG
This 497-nucleotide ribosomal RNA is filed under the name uncultured bacterium. RNAcentral's name for it is "partial 16S ribosomal RNA". It matches the Rfam family "Bacterial small subunit ribosomal RNA", at positions 28 to 507 of the family's 1533-position model. The record is from RNAcentral.